GAUGAACGCUAGCGGCAGGCCUAAUACAUGCAAGUCGAACGGAUAUAUGUUUUUCGGAAUAUAUAUUAGUGGCGCACGGGUGAGUAACACGUACAUAACUUGCCCUCAAGCGGGGGAUAGCCUUGGGAAACUGAGAGUAAUACCCCAUAGAAUUAUUGGACGGCAUCGUUUGAUAAUUAAAACUACGGUGCUUGGGGAUAGAUGUGCGUCUGAUUAGCUAGUUGGUGAGGUAAGGGCUCACCAAGGCGACGAUCAGUAGGGGGCGUGAGAGCGUGGCCCCCCCACACGGGUACUGAGACACGGACCCGACUCCUACGGGAGGCAGCAGUAAGGAAUAUUGGUCAAUGGAGGGAACUCUGAACCAGCCAUGCCGCGUGAAGGAUGACGGCCCUCUGGGUUGUAAACUUCUUUUGGAUGGGGCGAAAAAACGGGNUUUAUCCUGGACUGACGGUACCAUCAGAAUAAGCACCGGCUAACUCCGUGCCAGCAGCCGCCGGUAAUGUAGUCGUG
Molecule: ribosomal RNA, 510 nt
Filed under: uncultured bacterium
Lineage: Bacteria
Description: bacterial SSU rRNA
Rfam family: Bacterial small subunit ribosomal RNA
Source: RNAcentral